This 810-nucleotide ribosomal RNA is filed under the name Nannizzia gypsea. RNAcentral describes it as "eukaryotic LSU rRNA". It matches the Rfam family "Eukaryotic large subunit ribosomal RNA", at positions 85 to 912 of the family's 3401-position model. The record is from RNAcentral. Lineage: Eukaryota; Fungi; Ascomycota; Eurotiomycetes; Onygenales; Arthrodermataceae.
AACGGCGAGUGAAGCGGCAAAAGCUCAAAUUUGAAAUCUGGCCUCCUACGGGGGUCCGAGUUGUAAUUUGUAGAGGAUGCUUCGGGUGUGGCCGCCGUCUAAGUUCCUUGGAACAGGACGUCAGAGAGGGUGAGAAUCCCGUCUUGGGCGGCCGGUCCGCGCCCGUGUGAAGCUCCUUCGAAGAGUCGAGUUGUUUGGGAAUGCAGCUCUAAGCGGGUGGUAAAUUUCAUCUAAAGCUAAAUACUGGUCGGAGACCGAUAGCGCACAAGUAGAGUGAUCGAAAGGUUAAAAGCACCUUGAAAAGGGAGUUAAACAGCACGUGAAAUUGUUGAAAGGGAAGCGCUUGCGGCCAGACUCGGGGGCGGGGUUCAGCGGGUGCUCGUCGCCCGUGCACUCCCCGUCUCCCGGGCCAGCAUCAGUUUCGACGGCCGGUCAAAGGCCUCCGGAAUGUGUCGUCUCUCGGGACGUCUUAUAGCCGGGGGUGCAAUGCGGCCCGUCGGGACUGAGGAACGCGCUUCGGCUCGGAUGCUGGCGUAAUGGCCGUAAGCGGCCCGUCUUGAAACACGGACCAAGGAGUCUAACAUCCACGCGAGUGUUCGGGUGUCAAACCCGUGCGCGCAGUGAAAGCGAACGGAGGUGGGAGCCUUAGGGCGCACCAUCGACCGAUCCUGAAGUCUUCGGAUGGAUUUGAGUAGGAGCGUGGCCGUUGGGACCCGAAAGAUGGUGAACUAUGCCUGAAUAGGGUGAAGCCAGAGGAAACUCUGGUGGAGGCUCGCAGCGGYUCUGACGUGCAAAUCGAUCGUCAAAUUU